AGAGUUUGAUCCUGGCUCAGAACGAACGCUGGCGGCAUGCCUAACACAUGCAAGUCGAACGAAGGCUUCGGCCUUAGUGGCGCACGGGUGCGUAACGCGUGGGAAUCUGCCCCUCGGUUCGGAAUAACACAGAGAAAUUUGUGCUAAUACCGGAUGAUGACUUCGGUCCAAAGAUUUAUCGCCGAGGGAUGAGCCCGCGU
Molecule: ribosomal RNA, 200 nt
Filed under: uncultured bacterium
Lineage: Bacteria
Description: partial 16S ribosomal RNA
Rfam family: Bacterial small subunit ribosomal RNA
Source: RNAcentral